CGGCGCAGUGGCAGGCGAUUGGCGCGGCGCGGCUCAUGUCGUCGCGGCUUGCCGUGCAUCCGGCGUGCGUCGC
Molecule: transfer RNA, 73 nt
Filed under: Paraburkholderia caffeinitolerans
Lineage: Bacteria; Pseudomonadati; Pseudomonadota; Betaproteobacteria; Burkholderiales; Burkholderiaceae
Description: tRNA-Met
Source: RNAcentral